RNAcentral lists this long non-coding RNA (615 nucleotides) under Homo sapiens (human). RNAcentral's name for it is "non-protein coding lnc-KDM4C-5:7". The record is from RNAcentral. Lineage: Eukaryota; Metazoa; Chordata; Mammalia; Primates; Hominidae.
AGAACCACCGCACGAUGGGACACGCGAGGAAGGGGGCUCCGGGCCCCAUCCCCAGGGAGCAAGAAGACGCAGAGGACCGCGCCGGUUCAGGUGCCGCUGGAGAAAUGGAAUCUGACGGAGAAACUGAUCUGGGGCGGCAGCCCGCUAGGUUCGCCUGACUCACUAAAUGCUACUACAGUGCCCCACACGGACUGCCACGAGCGGGUCACGUGACUGGACUCUGGAUCGGCUGUGCUGUGAUGGCCGCGUAGCGCGCUGCUGUGCGCGCGAGACUAUAAGCCUCUGGGCCGCCGGUGCCUCCGCGCGGUCACCGCCUCCACCCGCCUGGCCGCUUCCCUCGGCGCAUGCGUAGCACACCGACUCCAGGAUUGUUUCCCAAAUCCCACUUCCGCCACUUCCUCCUCCCGAGACCAGCCAAGCGCGCCUGGCUGUCUGCCCUUCUUGGGCUCUUGGGGAGAACGUGGUCCGGGAACUGGCAGUCACGGGGAGGCAGCACAAGAGGUUUUCGCCCUCAUGUGCUGGUGCAACUAUCGCGACCAUCACCCUGAGAACUGGAGGAAGGGUGCCGCAGGCAAAGAGUGGCGCGCCUGCAGAUUCGGUUCCGCGCUUGGGGCU